Long non-coding RNA from Dermacentor silvarum, 522 nucleotides. RefSeq lists it as uncharacterized. The transcript is spliced from 3 exons. NCBI's taxonomy places the organism in Eukaryota, Metazoa, Arthropoda, Arachnida, Ixodida, Ixodidae. The record is from RefSeq and is a predicted model, not a curated record.
GGAAAAGUGCCAACGUGGUCGUCGGUUUUCCGCCGGGAGAGGACACCUUGGACAACCUGAACGCGCACUAUGCACCCUAUCUAGGUGCUAUCCACAAUGAAUUCCUACCAGACGAUUUGGAAGUGAUGAAGACCAGGAAACAGCGACUCAACAUUUCCCACGUUCACUUUGACCCGUCCAACAUUGACGUAGUGGCAUCCGGAGACGGGCUGGUGAUAGUGCCGGCUGGAGCUGUUUUCGCCUACUACCGAGAUGGCGACCUUACGGCGAUCAACCUGGGCCGCCUUGGGCAGAUGAUCGGCACACGUUUUAUCUAGAGGUUCCGGCUGCCCAGAGAGGAGCUCAAUCCCGAGUGCCUCCCGCCGGCUGAUUCAGAGACAGACAACGUGUUCGAGACUCUGCUCACCCAUCAGUGCACUCGAAGAGUAUUCAGUGUCAGCGUGAAACCGAAUAUGAGCACCGCCUUGUGGCUACCCAUGUAUCAGCACAUGACUCCUGCCAGACAGUUGUUUGUUGCUGCCU